GAUUAACGCUAGCGGCAGGCCUAAUACAUGCAAGUCGAGGGGCAGCGGGUGUAGCGAUACAUGCCGGCGACCGGCGCACGGGUGAGUAAUAUAUAAGCAAUCUUCCUUUAACCGGGGAAUAGCUCGGAGAAAUCCGAAUUAAUACCGCAUAACAUCAUGAGACGGCAUCGCCUUAUGAUUAAACCUACGGGGGUUAUAGAUGAGCUUAUGUCCGAUUAGAUAGUGGCGGGGUAACGGCCCACCAAGUCUACGAUCGGUAGGGGGUCUGAGAGGACUAUCCCCCACACUGGUACUGAGACACGGACCAGACUCCUACGGGAGGCAGCAGUAAGGAAUAUUGGACAAUGGGGGCAACCCUGAUCCAGCCAUGCCGCGUGCAGGAUGACGGCGUUAUGCGUU
Molecule: ribosomal RNA, 399 nt
Filed under: uncultured bacterium
Lineage: Bacteria
Description: bacterial SSU rRNA
Rfam family: Bacterial small subunit ribosomal RNA
Source: RNAcentral